UGGUAAUAUUAAACCAAAAUACCAUGGCGGCCAUUCCAAUAAAUCAGAGGAACUUGUCUCAUAACCGAUAAUCCUCGAUCAAUUUCACUAAAAUAAAAUCAAUUAUUUUUAUACCUCCGUCAAAAUUUUUCUCCAAAAAAAAAUUCAAAAAAUCCAUCCAAAUUAAAAAGUCAGGUCAAGGUGAAAUAACAUUUAGAGAAGAUUAGUUACCCAUUAAAACAAUUAAAAGAAAAAUACCCAAAAUUAAUUAGAAAAAGGAUUUGAAAGUAUUAAUUAAAUAACAAUUAAAAAUGAAUAUAAUUUUUGGUGU
This 310-nucleotide ribosomal RNA is filed under the name Atypoides riversi. RNAcentral's name for it is "partial 12S ribosomal RNA". Lineage: Eukaryota; Metazoa; Arthropoda; Arachnida; Araneae; Antrodiaetidae. The record is from RNAcentral.